Molecule: long non-coding RNA, 524 nt
Organism: Amphimedon queenslandica
Lineage: Eukaryota; Metazoa; Porifera; Demospongiae; Haplosclerida; Niphatidae
Exons: 2
Source: RefSeq, a predicted model, not a curated record
ACAAUAUAGGAUUGUAUCAAUGUAGCCUAAUUCUAGCUGUAAAUUUAGACCAGCAUCAUUCCCCAGUACUGGUUCAUUGUGUGUAGUAAUAUCAAAGGAUGGUUCAGUACAUGUAACAGGAACAUUGUUACAAUUAUAAAGACUAACACAUUCAAAUACAAUAUACCUCAACCAGUUAUAUGAAGAAGACGAAACAUGUAGACACGUGAUACUAACCUCUUCAUAUCUAUUACCAUCCCUCAUACCAAUAAUACUCACAUUAUUCCUCAGUAGCUGUUGCUCUAGUAGACUAGUAGUGUCUAGUGUAUAUGUACCAGGAGACAGGUUGAUAAGGAUACCUGAUGAACAGUUGUAUUGUAGAGUAGCAGUUCCUUGUAUAGCUAGAUCAAUAGUAGCACAAGGUGUUUGAACUCCUCCAGUCCAACAAGAGAUCCUACACUCCAAACCAGCAGCAGAAUAUACUAGAACAAGAGAAAGAAGAGAGACAAGAACCACUCCAGGAGACAUCAUUGAUUCAGGGCCAA